Molecule: long non-coding RNA, 2975 nt
Filed under: Mus musculus (house mouse)
Lineage: Eukaryota; Metazoa; Chordata; Mammalia; Rodentia; Muridae
Description: long non-coding RNA chr3:14189780-14192755
Source: RNAcentral
CCCUCGAAUAACUGGACGCUGGACGGGUCAUGAAACCCCUGCAUUCCAUCCUCCAUCCCCUUGAUCACUAACCCACCUACUCCAGCUUCCCUGUCCUGGCAUUCCCCUACACUGGGGCAUCGAGCCUUCACAAGACCAAGGGCCUCUCCUCUCACUGAUGCUCCACAAUGCCAUCCUUUACUACAUAUGCAGCUGCAGACAUGGAUCCCUCCAUGUGUACCCUUUGGUUGAUGGUUUAGUCCCUGGGAGCUCUGGGGUUACUGGUUGGCUCAUAUUUUUCCUCCUAUGGGGCUGCAAACCCCUUCAGCUCCUUGGGUCCAUUCUCUAGCUCCUCCAUUGGGGACCCUGUGCUCAGUCCAAUGGAUGGAUGUGAUCACCCACUUCUGUAUUUGUCAUGCAGUGUCAAGAGAGAGCUACAUCACAUUCCUGUCAGCAAGUACUUGUUAGCAUCCACAAUAGUGCCUGGGUUUGGUAACUCUAUAUGGGAUGGAUCCCCAGGUAGGACAGUCACUGGAUGGCCUUUUCUUCAGUUUCUGCCCCAAACUUUGACUCUGUAUUUCCUCCAAUGGAUAUUUUGUUUCCCCUUCUAAGAAGGACCGACUUAUCCACACUGUAAUUUCCUUCUUCUUGAGCUUCAUGUGGUCUGUGAAUUGUGAUUUGGGUAUUUCAAACUUCUGGGCUCAUAUCCACUUAGUGAGUGCAUACUGUGUGUGUUCUUUUGUGAUUGGGUUACCUCACUCAGGAUGAUAUUUUCUAGUUCCAUCCAUUUGCCUAAGAACUUCAUGAAUUCAUCAUUUUUAAGAGCUGAGUAAUACACCAUUGUAUAAAUAUACCACAUUUUCUGUAUCCAUUACUCUAUUGAGGGACGUCUGGGUUUUUUCCAGCUUUUGUCUAUUAUGAAUAAGGCCGCUAUGAAUAGUAGUGGAGCAUGUGUCAUUAUUACAUGUUGGAAUAUCUUCUAUGUAUAUAUCCAGGAGUGGUAUAGCUGGGUCCUCAGGUAUUACUUUGUCCAGUUUUCUGAGGAAGCACCAAACUGAUUUCCAGAGUCGUUUUACCAGCUUGCAAUCCCAUCAGCAAUAGAGGAGUGUUCCUCUUUCUCCACAUUCUCACCAGCUUCUGCUGUCACUUCAGUUUUUGAUCUUAGCCAUUCUGACUGGUGUGAGGUGGAAUCUCAGGUUUGUUUUUAUUUUCAUUUCCCUUAUGACUAAGGAUUGCUGCAAACAGACCUCAUUUGGGUCCUCGAUCUGCAGGGAAGCAGGGGUUCUGGUUACAGGUGAGCAAGGAGUUGGCAUGGAGGGUUGACAAACAGACAUGGACACAAGGGAGUGUGUAUUUGAAUGUAUUUUCUCAAAGCGAGCACCAGUCUUAUAAUACGGAAGAAAAACAAGAAAGCUAGGCGAAUACAUCUGCCAAGGUACACUGGUUCUUAACACAAAACAAAGAAAAUGCAUACAUAAAAAGAUAGAGGGAGCCAGGCCUUGCUUACAACUGAGAAUAGGAACAACCCUUAAUUAAGAUCAGCUAAACACAGGAGCCAGGUGAAUGCUCUGAUGCAAAGCUAGUCUAUUGUUAAACCCACCACCAGGGGUCCUUUAGUAAAUACCUGAUUAUGCCAUUCCUCUGGGCCCAGUGAAAAACCCUUUCCUGGAUAAUACCACAUAGUGGGUACCUAUUUCCUAGGCCAUUGUGUAUUCCUGUGUUUGGAUGUGACUUGACUAUUGUCCUAAGUAAUUACUAUGUAGACUAACCCUGAGCUUUCUAGCUCUAUUCAAGUAAAUUGUAAUGCCUAAUUAGUUUCACUAUCUCUACUAGAAGUAAAGUUGAAUGUUACUGAAUAGGUAACAUUCUUACUGAAUUCCAAGCUCAGAGUUGGCUUCAAGGACUUUCUAGGACAUUGGAACACUGACCGAGGCUUAGCUAUAUGUCAAAAUCAAUCCUUAAAGGCACUUAUAAUAAAAUAAUACUGAAAGAGAGCACAGGGAUCCAUACACCAGACUAACUCGGGGACAGGUUUUGAGUCUACAUGCUAUUGGAAUGCCAAAGUUCCAGGAGGCUAAGUUUCCGUGAAACUCAUUGCCUUGUGACUGCUUCCAGGCUUUUAGGUCUGUCAUGUAGACUUCACUGCAAUGGAUGUAGCAAAGGAUGUUGAACAUGUCUUUAGGUGCUUUUCAGUCAUUCAAUAUUCCUUUGUUUACAAUUCCUUUUUUAGCUCUGUACCCCAUUUUUAAUAGGGUUAUUUGAUUCUCUGGAAGCUAACUUCUUGAGAUCUUUGCAUAUAUUGGACAUUAGCCCUCUAUCAGAUGUAGGAUUGGUAAAGGUCUUUUCCCAAUCUGUUGGUUGCCAUUUUAUCCUAUUAACAGUGUCCUUUGCCUUACAGAAGCUUUGCAAUUUUAUGAGGUCCCAUUUGGAGAUUCUUGAUCUGAGAGUAUAAGCCACUGGUGUUCUAUUCAGGAAAUUUUCCCCUGUGCCCAUGUACUUGAGGCUUUCCCCCACUUUAAUCCUCUAUAAGUUUCAGUGUAUCUGUUUUUAUAUGGAGGUCCUUUAUCCAACUUGAGCUUUGUAUCAGGAGAUAAGAAUGGAUCCAUUUUCAUUCCUCUAUAUGCUAACCACCAGUUGAGCCUGAAUCAUUUGUUGAAAAUGCUGUCUUUUUUCCACUGGAUGGUUUUAGCUCAUUUGUCAAAGAUCAAGUGACCAUACAUGUGUGGGUUCAUUUCUGGGUCUUCAGUUGUAUUCCAUUGAUCUACUGCCUAUCAAUAUACUAAUACUGGUCCCACCUUAGAUAGUCACCGGAGAGGAAAAAAAAAUUGAGUUCAAGGUUUUAGGCUAAGAUUUUGUUACAAGUGUUAUUAAUUUUUAACCAUAUCCAAUAAUUUAUAAGCCAAUAAUCUACAGCCAAGAAAUAGAGAACAUAUUAAACUCAUACCCUUAAAAAUGUCAGAAACAUACAUGUGGCAGCCUCAUGCAUUUCUAUAUUU